RNAcentral lists this long non-coding RNA (958 nucleotides) under Homo sapiens (human). RNAcentral describes it as "HSALNT0400766". The record is from RNAcentral. Lineage: Eukaryota; Metazoa; Chordata; Mammalia; Primates; Hominidae.
CCGCCCCGUCCGGGAGGGAGGUGAGGGGGUCAGCCCCCUGCCCGGCCAGCCGCCCCGUCCGGGAGGUGAGGGACGCCUCUGCCCGGCCGCCCCUGCUGGGAGGUGGGGAGCCCCUCUGCCUGGCCACCACCCCGUCUGAGAGGUGUGCCCAACAGCUCAUUGAGAGCGGGCCGGGAUGACAAUGGCGGCUUUGUGCAAUAGAAAGGGGGGAAGGGUGGGGAAAAGAUUGAGAAAUCGGAUGGUUGCGGUGUCUGUGUAGAAAGAGGUAGACAUGGGAGACUUUUCAUUUUGUUCUGUACUAAGAAAAAUUAUUCUGCCUUGGGAUCCUGUUGAUCUGUGACCUUACCCCCAACCCUGUGCUCUCUGAAACAUGUGCUGCGUCCACUCAUGGUUAAAUGGAUUAAGGGUGGUGCAAGAUGUGCUUUGUUAAACAGAUGCUUGAAGGCAGCAUGCUCGUUAAGAAUCAUCACCACUCCCUAAUCUCAAGUACCCAGGGACACAAACACUGCGGAAGGCCGCUGCCUAGGAGAACCAGAGACCUUUGUUCACUUGUUUAUCUGCUGACCUUCCCUCCACUAUUGUCCUAUGACCCUGCCAAAUCCCCCUCUGUGAGAAACACCCAAGAAUGAUCAAUAAAAAUUAAAAAAAAAAACAAAAAAAAAAAAACAAAAAAAAAAAGAAAAAGCUGACACAGUUCUCUGAAAAAAGCCUAGAGAACACAAGGGUGACACAAACUCCAGAGAGUAUGCUGCUUGCAGCUUUGAUGAUUGUAUCAACAGUGGUAAGUCACCCCAUGUCUGCAGGAGCAGCUGCAGCUAAUUAUACCUACUGGGCCUAUGUGCCUUUCCCACCCUUAAUUCGGGCAGUCACAUGGAUGGAUAAUCCUAUUGAAGUAUAUGUUAAUAAUAGUGCAUGGGUACCUGGCCCCAUAGAGGAUCGUUGCCCUGCCCAACUCGAG